GAUGAACGCUGGCGGCGUGCUUAACAUAUGCAAGUCGAACGAAGCUGCUUAAAGGAAGUCUUCGGAUGGAAUUUAGGUAGACUUAGUGGCGGACGGGUGAGUACCGCGUGGAUAACCCGCCUUAUACAGGGGGAUAACGGAGAGAAAUUUCCGCUAACACCGCAUAAGACCACAGCACCGCAUGGUGCAGGGGUAAAAUAUUUAUAGGUAUAAGAUGGAUCCGCGUCCGAUUAGCUAGUUGGUGAGGUAAAGGCCCACCAAGGCGACGAUCGGUAGCCGGCCUGAGAGGGUGAACGGCCACAUUGGGACUGAGACACGGCCCAAACUCCUACGGGAGGUUUUUAGUGGGGAAUAUUGGACAAUGGGGGAAACCCUGAUCCAGCGACGCCGCGUGAGUGAAGAAGUAUUUCGGUAUGUAAAGCUCUAUCAGCAGGGAAGAAAAUGACGGUACCUGACUAAGAAGCCCCGGCUAACUACGUGCCAGCGGCCGCGGUAAUACGUAAGGGGCAAGCGUUAUCCGGAUUUCCUUGGGUGUAAAGGGAGCGCAUACGGCAAUGCAAGCCUGAAGUGAAGGGUGUGGGGCUCAACUUAUGAACU
This 597-nucleotide ribosomal RNA is filed under the name uncultured Lachnospiraceae bacterium. Its description in RNAcentral is "bacterial SSU rRNA". It matches the Rfam family "Bacterial small subunit ribosomal RNA", at positions 28 to 622 of the family's 1533-position model. Lineage: Bacteria; Bacillati; Bacillota; Clostridia; Lachnospirales; Lachnospiraceae. The record is from RNAcentral.